GACAGAGGGGGCAAGCGUUGCUCGGAAUCACUGGGCGUAAAGGGCGCGUAGGCGGGAUGGCAAGUCAGUCGUGAAAUCUCUCGGCUCAACCGAGAAACGUCGGCUGAUACUGCCGUUCUUGAGGGAUGCAGAGGAGACUGGAAUUCCCGGUGUAGCGGUGAAAUGUGUAGAGAUCGGGAGGAACACCGGUGGCGAAGGCGGGUCUCUGGGCAUCUCCUGGACGCUGAGG
Molecule: ribosomal RNA, 229 nt
Filed under: uncultured bacterium
Lineage: Bacteria
Description: partial 16S ribosomal RNA
Rfam family: Bacterial small subunit ribosomal RNA
Source: RNAcentral